This 440-nucleotide ribosomal RNA is filed under the name uncultured bacterium. Its description in RNAcentral is "partial 16S ribosomal RNA". It matches the Rfam family "Bacterial small subunit ribosomal RNA", at positions 338 to 795 of the family's 1533-position model. The record is from RNAcentral.
CCUACGGGGCGCAGCAGUGGGGAAUAUUGCACAAUGGGGGAAACCCUGAUGCAGCGACGCCGCGUGAGUGAAGAAGUAUUUCGGUAUGUAAAGCUCUAUCAGCAGGGAAGAAAAUGACGGUACCUGAGUAAGAAGCCCCGGCUAACUACGUGCCAGCAGCCGCGGUAAUACGUAGGGGGCAAGCGUUAUCCGGAUUUACUGGGUGUAAAGGGAGCGUAGACGGCAGCACAAGUCUGGAGUGAAAUGCCGGGGCUUAACCCCGGAACUGCUUUGGAAACUGUGCAGCUAGAGUGCAGGAGAGGUAAGUGGAAUUCCUAGUGUAGCGGUGAAAUGCGUAGAUAUUAGGAGGAACACCAGUGGCGAAGGCGGCUUACUGGACUGUAACUGACGUUGAGGCUCGAAAGCGUGGGGAGCAAACAGGAUUAGAUACCCGAGUAGUC